UAUAGCGUAACAAUGACUCAUACAUUACGUGUUUACCUUUCUCAAUGAGUUUCUAUUUUAUAAAAUAUUCGAAGCUAAUUUAUACAUUAGGCACUGUCUUCGUUGGGUUUUUAUACGUCUACUACGUCUACUAUCUACGGCUUUAACUGAUUCUUGAUUGCGCAAUACAAGAUCGGCGUGAGCGACUGUCACUAGACUGUCUACAAUAGACCUUUUUGUUUUGUGUGCGUUAUGCUAGCUGAUAGUGUUUGGAGGGUGAAGGAAGACACCAACGCCUGUUCAUUGUAUGAUUAAAUGUGGUGCGCGGGCGCAGAGGGGUUACUGCGCCGCCGCCGUGACGAGACUUGACAGACAUAAAUCAAUUGUCAAAACCGCCAGCGCACUAAUCUUGAGAGACUAAUAGCGCGCGACGAUCGACGUAUGGACACGCUCUAAAAAAUCUCUGUGAUUGCAAGUGUUUCUUCAAUGAUUUUGCUGACUAAGUCAGUAACCACUGUUCCGCUAGUACAUGAAUCUAGAAAAGAAUCUCCCGACUCUAACCCUCCGUUUAUGGAAAACAAACAAAAAAUUCGGUAAGAUGUA
Long non-coding RNA from Pieris rapae (cabbage white), 582 nucleotides. RefSeq lists it as uncharacterized. NCBI's taxonomy places the organism in Eukaryota, Metazoa, Arthropoda, Insecta, Lepidoptera, Pieridae. The transcript is spliced from 4 exons. The record is from RefSeq and is a predicted model, not a curated record.